Molecule: unclassified non-coding RNA, 270 nt
Filed under: uncultured bacterium
Lineage: Bacteria
Description: contains 16S-23S intergenic spacer region
Source: RNAcentral
ACGACCACCAGUGGCUACCAUGAGUUGUCGUUGCUUGCCAUCGAACAAACACACAAAGAGGAACGUCUAAAUUAGAGUGGAAUCCUUAGAAUCCACCUCAAGGAUUUGGUAUAGAAACAAGCUCUCAAUCAUUUCUUUUGUAGUUUCUCUGAGAUAGUAUUGACUUCUAUGCAUUUCUUCUAGUGAGUUUGAGCUUCUCUUAGUAUCUCUUGUGUUUUCGGUAUUGUAAUAGGAUGUUUUACACUUCCUUUGAAAAACUUUUAAUUUUGA